Molecule: ribosomal RNA, 274 nt
Filed under: uncultured bacterium
Lineage: Bacteria
Description: partial 16S ribosomal RNA
Rfam family: Bacterial small subunit ribosomal RNA
Source: RNAcentral
AUACGAAGGGAGCUAGCGUUGUUCGGAAUUACUGGGCGUAAAGCGCACGUAGGCGGACUUGUUAGUCAGGGGUGAAAUCCCGGGGCCCAACCUCGGAACUGCCUUUGAUACUGCAAGUCUGGAGUCCGGAAGAGGUGGGUGGAAUUCCUAGUGUAGAGGUGAAAUUCGUAGAUAUUAGGAAGAACACCGGUGGCGAAGGCGGCCCACUGGUCCGGUACUGACGCUGAGGUGCGAAAGCGUGGGGAGCAAACAGGAUUAGAAACCCCUGUAGUCC